RNAcentral lists this long non-coding RNA (2975 nucleotides) under Homo sapiens (human). Its description in RNAcentral is "HSALNT0271906". Lineage: Eukaryota; Metazoa; Chordata; Mammalia; Primates; Hominidae. The record is from RNAcentral.
GUGGACUCGGAGAGGAAAACCCACACUCAGAAAGACGCAUUCACAAUGUGGGUGGGCACCAUCCAAUAGGCCACCAGCUGGCUAGAAAAAGCAGGCAGAAGGUGGAAGAAGCAGAGUGGGGGGUCUUCCUGCUUUUGUGUUUCUCCUGUGCUGGAUGCUUCCUGCCUUUAAACAUCAGACCCCAGGUUCUUUGUCCUUUGCACUCUUUGAACUUACACCAGCGGUUUGCAAGGGGCUCUUGGGCCUUUGGCCACAGACUGAAGGCUGCACUGACCAUUUUCCUACUUUUGAGGUUUUGGGACUUGGACUGAGCCGCUACUGGCUUCCUUGCUCUUCAACUUGCAGACAGCCUGUAGUGGGACUUCACCUUGUGAUCAUGCUGCUGACUAACUUAAUGAACUGAACGGAUUAAAAUGGUGCAAGAGAAAAGGGCAUUUUUACACAAAAGGAAGCAUUUUCUGUGUUCCAGUUCAGCUGUUCCAAUGACAUUUGGUGGUGUUAUCAGUGUGAAUUAUACAAGCAAGUUUCUUUAUCCAGACUGACGCAUCAACCAUGAUCUAGCAUUUGCAAGAUGUGUAAUUACUUUGACUUUCAAGAAAACAUCUUCUGAUCUAAGGAACUUCCCAAGAUAUCAAAGACUUAGAUGAAAUAGCAUUAAAGAUGAUACAAGAUGGCCACACGUAUAUGACUGGUGCGACUCAGCCCUGCUCCUCCUGUUUUUCCCUCCAGCUGGCUGGCUCAGGAAUACUCUCACAGUGAUGGCAGAAGAGCAAAUCUGGAAGUUCAAACACUCAAAUGUGUUGUUGGAUUUCUGCAUGCAUCACAUGGGCUAACAACUGGUCAAAGCAAAUCACAUGGCCAAACUAAAAAUCAAAGGCCUGGAAGACAGACAAAGUGCUAUAUUGAAGGUUACAGAAGAAUAAAGAAGUUCUGAAUAGAACAGAAGCUUUCAUAAGGCAGGGGUUAUAACGACCAACAGAGACUCCACAAAACCAUUUACUCACAAGAGAAAAUAUGGCACGGAUUGGAUUAGAAGUGGAAAGACUAAUGCAUUUUUGUCCAUAAGGAUUAGAAGAAAAAUGGUUCUCUCAGCUCUGCAAGUGAGCACAACAAGCAAUCCAAAAGCAUUAUUUGUGUGAAGCAGUUUGUAGAAUUUGUUCCAUUUGUCACUAGAACUAGUGUUUGAAGCUCAGCAAAAGUUGAGUUAUGGUUAAGCCCCAGGGUCAGUGGCCACGUGUUCAGAGUAGUACCUUAGGUUUAAAGCUGAUUCACAACCUGAAAAACACUCAGUGGUGUUCUCUCCCAAAUUAUCAAUCAUUACCUUGUGGUGUUUUAAAAAGAGGAUAGAAGAUUGCUUGACCAGAAAAUAAUGACAAUAAAAAGGAAAUUAUAUAUAGUGUGUGUGUUUAUGUAUUACACAUAUAAUACAUAAUGUGAAUUUUCCCCCAUGAUAACUAUUAAACAUGUUUAUUUAAUAGUUAAAUAUCCAUCUUUGAGGGCUUUUAAAAUUUAUAUUUCUUUGUUAACUUUGAAGUUGAGACUGCAUGCAAAGGCUGCUCCAUUUCAGGUAAAUAGUGCCUCAGUAGCUGUUUGAUUUACCUUAAAAAGGAAAACAAAAUGACACACCUUCCAACCCAUAGACUUUCUGAGGUCUUUGAAAUACAACAAUAACUAGAAGAGGAGAAUUUGCGUAGUAUAGUGAUAUGGUUUGGCUGUGUCCCCACCCAAAUCUCAUCUUGAGUUAUGGUUCCUAUUAUCCCCACGUGUUAUGGGAGGGACCAGGUGAAAAUAAUUAAAUAAUCAGAGCAGUUUUCCCCAUCCUGUUCUCAUGAUAGUGAGUUAGUUCUCAUGAGACCUGAUGGCUUUAUAAGGGGCUUCCUGCUUCACUGGGUACUCAUUCUUCUCUCUCCUGCCACCAUGUGAAGAAGGACAUGUUUGUUUCCCCAUCCACCAUAAUUGUAAGUUUCCUGUGGCUUCCCUAACCAUGUGGAAGUGUGAGUCAAUUAAACUUCUACCCUUUAUAAAUUGCCCAGUCUCAAGUAUGUUUUUAAGCACCAAGAGAAUGGCCUAAUACAGUACAUUGUUACCAAGAAUGGGGUGCUACUAUAAAGAUACUCAAAAAUGUGGAGGUAAAUUUGGAACUGGGUAACGGGCAGAGGCUGGAACAGUUUGGAGGCCUCAGAAAAAGACAGGAAAAUGUGGGGAAGUAUGGAAAUUCCCAGAGACUUGGAGGGCUCAGAAGACAGGAAGAUGUGGGAAACUUUGGAAUUUCCUAGAAACUUGUUGAAUGGCUUUGACCAAAACGCUGAUAGUGAUACGGGCAAUGAAAUCCAGGCUGAGGCAGUCUCAGAUGGAGAUGGGGAACUUGUGGGGAACUGGAGUAAAAGUCACUCUUGCUAUGCAAAGGGACUGACAGCAUUUUGCCCUUGCCCCAGAGAUCUGUGGAACUUUAAACUUGAGAGAGAUGAUUUGGGGUAUCUGGUGGAAUAAGUUUCUAAGCAGCAAAGUGUUCAAGAGAAAGCAGAGCAUAAGAGUUUGAAAAAGUUGCAGCCUGACAAUGUAAUAGAAAAGAAAAACCCAUUUUUUCUUGACAGAAAUUCAAGCCUGCUGCAGAAAUCUGCAUAAAUACUUAGGAGUCAAAUAUUAAUCACCAAGACAAUGGGGAAAAUGUUUCCAGGGUGUGUAAGAGACCUUCAUGGCAGUCCCUCCAUCACAGGCCCAAAGGCCUAGGAGAGAAAACUGUUUUGGAGGGCUCUCUUCUCUAUGCAGCCUCAGGAUAUGGUGCCCUGCACCCCCGCUGCUUCAGCUCCAGUCAUGGCUAAAAGGGGCCAAGGUACAGCUCAGGCUGUUACUUCAGAGGGUGCAAGCUCCAAUCCUUGGCAGCUUCCACAUGUUAUUGAGCCUGUGGGUGUGCAGAAUACAAGAAUUGAGAUUUGGGAACCUCUGCCUAGAUUUCAGAGGAUAUAUGGAAAUGC